Molecule: ribosomal RNA, 497 nt
Filed under: uncultured bacterium
Lineage: Bacteria
Description: partial 16S ribosomal RNA
Rfam family: Bacterial small subunit ribosomal RNA
Source: RNAcentral
GACGAACGCUGGCGGCGUGCCUAAUACAUGCAAGUUGAGCGCUGAAGGUUGGUACUUGUACCGACUGGAUGAGCAGCGAACGGGUGAGUAACGCGUGGGGAAUCUGCCUUUGAGCGGGGGACAACAUUUGGAAACGAAUGCUAAUACCGCAUAAAAACUUUAAACACAAGUUUUAAGUUUGAAAGAUGCAAUUGCAUCACUCAAAGAUGAUCCCGCGUUGUAUUAGCUAGUUGGUGAGGUAAAGGCUCACCAAGGCGAUGAUACAUAGCCGACCUGAGAGGGUGAUCGGCCACAUUGGGACUGAGACACGGCCCAAACUCCUACGGGAGGCAGCAGUAGGGAAUCUUCGGCAAUGGACGAAAGUCUGACCGAGCAACGCCGCGUGAGUGAAGAAGGGUGUCGGAUCGUAAAACUCGGUUGGUAGAGAAGAACGUUGGUGAGAGUGGAAAGCUCAUCAAGUGACGGUAACUACCCAGAAAGGGACGGCUAACUACGUG